GGCCACCUGGACAGGAACUGACGCUGAGGCGCGAAGGCGUGGGGAGCAAACGGGAUUAGAUACCCCGGUAGUCCACGCAGUAAACGAUGUCUAUUAGAAGUUUGUGGCUAUAUGCCGUGGGUUUCAAAGCUAACGCAUUAAAUAGACCGCCUGGGGAGUACGGCCGCAAGGUUAAAACUCAAAUGAAUUGACGGGGGCCCGCACAAGCGGUGGAGCAUGUGGUUUAAUUCGAUGCAACGCGAAGAACCUUACCAUCCCUUGACAUCCAGAGAAUCACCUAGAGAUAGAUGAGUGCCUUCGGGAACUCUGAGACAGGUGCUGCAUGGCUGUCGUCAGCUCGUGUUGUGAAAUGUUGGGUUAAGUCCCGCAACGAGCGCAACCCUUAUCCUUAGUUGCCAGCACGUAAUGGUGGGAACUCUAGGGAGACUGCCGGUGAUAAACCGGAGGAAGGUGGGGACGACGUCAAGUCAUCAUGGCCCUUACGGGAUGGGCUACACACGUGCUACAAUGGCAAAUACAAAGGGUUGCUCACCAGCGAUGGUAUGCGAAUCUCAUAAAGUUUGUCGUAGUCCGGAUCGGAGUCUGCAACUCGACUCCGUGAAGUUGGAAUCGCUAGUAAUCGUGGAUCAGAAUGCCACGGUGAAUACGUUCCCGGGCCUUGUACACACCGCCCGUCACACCAUGGGAGUGGGCUGCACCAGAAGUCAUUAGCUUA
RNAcentral lists this ribosomal RNA (715 nucleotides) under gamma proteobacterium GM15. RNAcentral's name for it is "bacterial SSU rRNA". It matches the Rfam family "Bacterial small subunit ribosomal RNA", at positions 723 to 1437 of the family's 1533-position model. The record is from RNAcentral. Lineage: Bacteria; Pseudomonadati; Pseudomonadota; Gammaproteobacteria.